RNAcentral lists this ribosomal RNA (581 nucleotides) under uncultured bacterium. RNAcentral describes it as "bacterial SSU rRNA". It matches the Rfam family "Bacterial small subunit ribosomal RNA", at positions 294 to 885 of the family's 1533-position model. The record is from RNAcentral.
GAGAGGGCGACCGGCCACACUGGGACUGAGACACGGCCCAGACUCCUACGGGAGGCAGCAGUGGGGAAUAUUGCACAAUGGGCGAAAGCCUGAUGCAGCGACGCCGCGUGAGGGAUGACUGCCUUCGGGUUGUAAACCUCUUUCAGCAGGGACGAAGCGAAAGUGACGGUACCUGCAGAAGAAGCACCGGCCAACUACGUGCCAGCAGCCGCGGUAAUACGUAGGGUGCAAGCGUUGUCCGGAAUUAUUGGGCGUAAAGAGCUCGUAGGCGGCUUGUCGCGUCGGCUGUGAAAACCUGGGGCUCAACCCCGGGCCUGCAGCCGAUACGGGCAAGCUAGAGUUCGGUAGGGGAGACUGGAAUUCCUGGUGUAGCGGUGAAAUGCGCAGAUAUCAGGAGGAACACCGGUGGCGAAGGCGGGUCUCUGGGCCGAAACUGACGCUGAGGAGCGAAAGCGUGGGGAGCGAACAGGAUUAGAUACCCUGGUAGUCCACGCUGUAAACGUUGGGCGCUAGGUGUGGGGGGCCUCUCCGGUUCUCUGUGCCGCAGCUAACGCAUUAAGCGCCCCGCCUGGGGAGUACGG